GACCGCGUAGCUCAGUUGGAAGAGCAUUGGGCUAGUAUUCCAAAGGUCGUAGGUUCGAAUCCCAUCGUGGCCG
This 73-nucleotide transfer RNA is filed under the name Paramuricea clavata. It matches the Rfam family "tRNA". Rfam says of the family: Transfer RNA (tRNA) molecules are approximately 80 nucleotides in length. Their secondary structure includes four short double-helical elements and three loops (D, anti-codon, and T loops). Further hydrogen bonds mediate the characteristic L-shaped molecular structure. tRNAs have two regions of fundamental functional importance: the anti-codon, which is responsible for specific mRNA codon recognition, and the 3' end, to which the tRNAs corresponding amino acid is attached (by aminoacyl-tRNA synthetases). tRNAs cope with the degeneracy of the genetic code in two manners: having more than one tRNA (with a specific anti-codon) for a particular amino acid; and 'wobble' base-pairing, i.e. permitting non-standard base-pairing at the 3rd anti-codon position. Lineage: Eukaryota; Metazoa; Cnidaria; Anthozoa; Malacalcyonacea; Plexauridae. The record is from Rfam by way of RNAcentral.